RNAcentral lists this ribosomal RNA (459 nucleotides) under uncultured bacterium. Its description in RNAcentral is "partial 16S ribosomal RNA". It matches the Rfam family "Bacterial small subunit ribosomal RNA", at positions 338 to 795 of the family's 1533-position model. The record is from RNAcentral.
CCUACGUGAGGCAGCAGUGAGGAAUAUUGGUCAAUGGGCGGGAGCCUGAACCAGCCAAGUCGCGUGAGGGAUGACGGCCCUAUGGGUUGUAAACUUCUUUUGCCGGGGAGUAAAGCGCCGUAUGUGUGCGGUCUUGUGUGUACCCGAUGAAUAAGCAUCGGCUAACUCCGUGCCAGCAGCCGCGGUAAUACGGAGGAUGCGAGCGUUAUCCGGAUUUAUUGGGUUUAAAGGGUGCGUAGGCGGAUGCUUAAGUCAGCGGUAAAAUUUCGGGGCUCAACCUCAUAGAGCCGUUGAAACUGGGUGCCUUGAGUGGGCGAGAGGUACGCGGAAUGCGUGGUGUAGCGGUGAAAUGCAUAGAUAUCACGAAGAACUCCGAUUGCGAAGGCAGCGUACCGGAGCCCAACUGACGCUGAAGCACGAAGGCGUGGGUAUCGAACAGGAUUAGAUACCCCUGUAGUC